This 69-nucleotide transfer RNA is filed under the name Bos taurus (domestic cattle). It matches the Rfam family "tRNA". Rfam says of the family: Transfer RNA (tRNA) molecules are approximately 80 nucleotides in length. Their secondary structure includes four short double-helical elements and three loops (D, anti-codon, and T loops). RNAcentral also lists the same sequence under 2 other names. The record is from Rfam by way of RNAcentral. Lineage: Eukaryota; Metazoa; Chordata; Mammalia; Artiodactyla; Bovidae.
CCUGGUGGCUCAGAGGGUAAAGCAUCUGCCUGCAAUGCAGGAGACCUGGGUUCGACCCCCAGGUCAGGA